UCCCUGGUGGCUCAGAUGGUAAAGCGUCUGCCUGCAAUGAGGGAGACCCAGGUUCGAUCCCUGGGUUGGGAA
RNAcentral lists this transfer RNA (72 nucleotides) under Ovis aries (sheep). It matches the Rfam family "tRNA". From Rfam's summary of the family: Transfer RNA (tRNA) molecules are approximately 80 nucleotides in length. Their secondary structure includes four short double-helical elements and three loops (D, anti-codon, and T loops). The record is from Rfam by way of RNAcentral. Lineage: Eukaryota; Metazoa; Chordata; Mammalia; Artiodactyla; Bovidae.